Molecule: ribosomal RNA, 280 nt
Filed under: Proteocephalus ambloplitis
Lineage: Eukaryota; Metazoa; Platyhelminthes; Cestoda; Proteocephalidea; Proteocephalidae
Description: partial 16S ribosomal RNA
Rfam family: Bacterial large subunit ribosomal RNA
Source: RNAcentral
AGGUAGCAUAAUUAAUUGCCUUAUAAUUGAAGGCUUGUCUGAAUGGUUUGACGCGGUAGCUACAAAUAUUUGAUUUUUUAGUGAAAUUGGUAUGGAGGGCACAGAAUCCUCCUUUUUUAAUCAGACGGAAAGACCCCAGAAUCUUUAUUUUUUGUCUGGGGCAGAUGGGAAUAUUUCAUUCUUAUUUUGACCCCUCUAGGUUUAGUGAGUUAAGUUACUCUGGGGAUAACAGUGUAAUAAUUUAUUAGAGGCCUUAUCGAAUAAAUUGUUUGCUACCUCG